AACAGCGCACACACCCACACUACAGAGAGAGGCGGGGGCAUUUCUUUAUCAACCAAACCAAACGCCGUCGUCGUCAGCCAUCAGUAGCCAUGAAGGUGCGUUCCUCUGUGAAGAAGAUGUGCGAGUUUUGUAAGACAGUUAAACGUCGCGGGGGUGUUUAUGUGCUUUGCACAGCCAAUCCCAAGCAUAAGCAAAGACAGGGCAUGUCAACAUUUGCAUACGAAGGCACGGUGUCUUCCAUGUACGCAGAGACUAGUGCCAAGCUGGAGAACAGCUCUGGUCACAGCAUGCAAGCAGGUCUGGCCUCUCUGAUACCCAAAAAGCAUGAACCCUCGAUGCCCUCUAUACCCUCUACGAUACUUGGAUGGAGGGUGGGCCUGGCCUCCCUGCUGUUCAACAAGGCCAAGAAGCUUUGAAAUUUGAAAUGGGACCUUAUCUCAGUUUUUAGGUUCCUUUCUUUGGUUGUGCUGCCAGAUAUAUUCAAAAUGUUAUAAGCUCCUCUUUUUCUCUUGGAUUUUAGCUUUUAAUCAGCUACUAUAUAUAAUACUUCCAUCUCUCCC
This is a non-coding RNA of Prunus mume (Japanese apricot), 560 nucleotides long. NCBI's taxonomy places the organism in Eukaryota, Viridiplantae, Streptophyta, Magnoliopsida, Rosales, Rosaceae. The record is from RefSeq and is a predicted model, not a curated record.